AUUGAACGCUGGCGGCAGGCCUAACACAUGCAAGUCGAGCGGAUGAAGGGAGCUUGCUCCUGGAUUCAGCGGCGGACGGGUGAGUAAUGCCUAGGAAUCUGCCUGGUAGUGGGGGAUAACGUCCGGAAACGGGCGCUAAUACCGCAUACGUCCUGAGGGAGAAAGUGGGGGAUCUUCGGACCUCACGCUAUCAGAUGAGCCUAGGUCGGAUUAGCUAGUUGGUGGGGUAAAGGCCUACCAAGGCGACGUUCCGUAACUGGUCUGAGAGGAUGAUCAGUCACACUGGAACUGAGACACGGUCCAGACUCCUACGGGAGGCAGCAGUGGGGAAUAUUGGACAAUGGGCGAAAGCCUGAUCCAGCCAUGCCGCGUGUGUGAAGAAGGUCUUCGGAUUGUAAAGCACUUUAAGUUGGGAGGAAGGGCAGUAAGUUAAUACCUUGCUGUUUUGACGUUACCGACAGAAUAAGCACCGGCUAACUUCGUG
This 484-nucleotide ribosomal RNA is filed under the name uncultured bacterium. Its description in RNAcentral is "partial 16S ribosomal RNA". It matches the Rfam family "Bacterial small subunit ribosomal RNA", at positions 30 to 507 of the family's 1533-position model. The record is from RNAcentral.